This 659-nucleotide long non-coding RNA is filed under the name Homo sapiens (human). RNAcentral describes it as "HSALNT0383091". The record is from RNAcentral. Lineage: Eukaryota; Metazoa; Chordata; Mammalia; Primates; Hominidae.
CGGGCCGAGGUCAUGCCCGCCUGCCCCCAGCGCCGGGCGGCCCCCUCGUCGGGCCAGGCGGCCGCUCGAGAGCCGGGCUGGGGAAGGGGCCCGCGGCGGAGUUGGCUCGGGGACUCACCAGGCCAGGAACUUGGGAGCCAUUUAAGCUGGUUGGUUCUUGCUCAGGGCCACUCAAGCUGAUGGCUGGAGUUGCAGAGUCAUCUGAAGGCUGGACUGAGGCUGAAAGAUCUGCUUCCAAGAUGGUGCCCUCACAUAGCUGCUGGCUGGAAGCCUUAGCCCUUCACCAUAAAGCCCUCUCUGUAAGGGUACCUGAGUCACCUCAUAAGGCAGCUGGCUUUCCCCAGAGAGGAAGACAGAGAAUCUAGGAAGGUGCCAGGGAUGAUUUCUCAUCCCAAAGCCCUGGGAGAAAUCCCAUCUCUGGGCAAGAAGAGAAUCUGAACGCAAAUGGAUGAAGAUGCUAAUGAGGCUCAGAUGAUGAGAGCACACUAGGCUCACAGCAUGCUGACAAAUCCAGAAACAGGCUAUGCUUCCCUCCCGCCUUCCUAAGACUUCAGCUAAGACACUGCACAUGCCCGUCCCUCUGCAGGAAGGCCAUCCACAGUUAUAUCUUGCUUUAAAAAAGCAAAACUUUGAAAAAUAAAAUGUACAAAAUUGGGUAG